UAGGUGUUUGCAGAUGACCAGGAUGUUUGU
This 30-nucleotide non-coding RNA is filed under the name Rattus norvegicus (Norway rat). Lineage: Eukaryota; Metazoa; Chordata; Mammalia; Rodentia; Muridae. The record is from RNAcentral.